Molecule: long non-coding RNA, 580 nt
Organism: Paramormyrops kingsleyae
Lineage: Eukaryota; Metazoa; Chordata; Actinopteri; Osteoglossiformes; Mormyridae
Source: RefSeq, a predicted model, not a curated record
AACAAACCAAUUGUCAAAAAUCUCAGAAACUGUCAUAUGUUAGUUAAUAUGGUGGCUCGACUUUAAAAAAUACAAACGGUCUAGGUGAAAGAAUAAUUAUCCGUAUGGUCACGGAACUAUUUGGACGUCUUUUGGACUCAUUUGACAAGACUAUUUGAUAUUCUUGCAUUCACCGAGCGGCGUGCCAGCAAGGACGGCGGCGGCGGCGGCUCACGUGCGCCUGACGGGACGGGCCCCGGAUGUGGCUCGCGACGCUCGAGGUGAAGGAGAGAGAUACGCCGGGCCCCGCAGUCACACGGACGCAGCUCGCCAGAUUGAGCUCAGAUUACGCCUGCGACCCGCUGUUCAGCAAGAGGAGAUCACACACGCCGGUGUAUCCGCCGGAGCGACGCCCGUCACAUGCGUGGCGGCGUGCAGAAAUAAUGUUUCUGUCCUUAGAACAUGCCGGAAGGACAAGAAUUAGUGCUGGGGGAUCUGAACAACACGAUUGCAGUCCUGAUUUUUGUACACUCUGCGCUUAUUGUUACAUCUGGAUGAUCUGGUAUGCAUGUCAAUAAAAGGCAAAAAACUGUUUUUUCCA